RNAcentral lists this ribosomal RNA (292 nucleotides) under uncultured bacterium. Its description in RNAcentral is "partial 16S ribosomal RNA". It matches the Rfam family "Bacterial small subunit ribosomal RNA", at positions 505 to 796 of the family's 1533-position model. The record is from RNAcentral.
GUGUCAGCAGCCGCGGUAAGACGAACCGUGCGAACGUUGUUCGGAUUCACUGGGCUUAAAGGGCGCGUAGGCGGGCAACCAAGUCAGGGGUGAAAUCUUUCGGCUCAACCGGAAAACAGCCUCUGAUACUGGUCGUCUGGAGGGAGGUAGGGGUCUGUGGAACUUCUGGUGGAGCGGUGAAAUGCGUAGAUAUCAGAAGGAACGCCGGUGGCGAAAGCGACGGACUGGACCUCUUCUGACGCUGAGGCGCGAAAGCUAGGGGAGCAAACGGGAUUAGAAACCCCGGUAGUCC